CUGAGAGGAGGGGGGUAGUAUGGAGAGAGUGCUGGUGCUUUAUCCAAUCAGUGGCGCUGGCGCGGGAACCGCCCAGUUGGAGAGGAGGGCGUGGCUUCCGGCAUUCGUUGGGGCUUUUGUAACUCGCUGGCGCCAAAGCUUGGGAUCGGUCUCUGCUGUUCUUCAUCCUCCACCUCGGGAGCCCCCGGUGACUGUCACAAUCUCUGUUGCCCUGUUAUCUGCAGGUUCUGGGAGACGCACAGUUAAGAUGCCAGGACAUCCUGGAAGAUGGGAAAAGGUUCUGCUGACAAAGGAGAUUAUGACAUAUUGCUGGGCCUAACACUAAGGUGGUGUUACUUACUUGCUUUGGCUGUGCUCUUGGAAGGCAUUGAGACAUACUGCUGUGCCCAGCACCAAGAUGAUGUGAGUUCUCUGCCUGAACCCUGACCACAGGAAGCACUGUGACCUACCUAUUGACCCACUGCAAUCUCUCCUAUGGGAAAAGCACAGAUAAAUGUCCUCUUUUACCUACAUGAUUUGACAUUCCUCUACUGCCUGGGCCAUGCCCACAGAAUAGAGUGAUUUAUCGCUGGACCAAGCAGUGAUGUAAUUAUUCUGCUUGGUCCUUGCACACACAAGUCACUGUGAUAUAUGUUUGGACCCAUAACCUAGAUGAUGUGCCUCCUCUUCUGGGGUUUGUCCACAGCGGCAAUUGUGAUAUAUCACUUAACGUAGCUCCUAUGUGAUGUGACUCUUCUUUCAUGUUUGGGCCCUUCCCACUGGGAUGAUUGGAACAUAAAGCUGAGCCCAGCACCUAGGUUAUGCGACUCUCUUCUUGUUUAUGGACCCUACCCGCAGGAGGCAUUGUGACAUAUCUCUAGGCCACUCACUUAGGUAAUGUGACUUUUUUGCCUAGGCCCUCCCCUCCAGAAAUAUUGUGAAAUAUUUCUGGACCAAGAACCUAGGUGAUAUGACUCUCCUCUUCUGCUUGGGACCUGCAUACAUUGCAUGUUGCAACAUGUCUCUGAGUCCAACACCAAGGUGAUGUGACUGCCCUGCAUGGAUGCUCCCACGGAAAUAUUAUAACAUCUCUUUAUUCAUUAUCUAGGUAAUGUGACUCUUCUCUUCUGCUUAAG
This is a non-coding RNA of Chlorocebus sabaeus (green monkey), 1115 nucleotides long. The record is from RefSeq and is a predicted model, not a curated record. Lineage: Eukaryota; Metazoa; Chordata; Mammalia; Primates; Cercopithecidae.